CCUACGGGGGACAGCAGUGAGGAAUAUUGGUCAAUGGACGAGAGUCUGAACCAGCCAAGUAGCGUGAAGGAUGACUGCCCGAUGGGUUGUAAACUUCUUUUAUAUGGGAAUAAAAUGUUCCACGUGUGGGAUGUUGUAUGUACCAUAUGAAUAAGGAUCGGCUAACUCCGUACCAGCAGCCGCGGUAAUACGGAGGAUCCGAGCGUUAUCCGGAUUUAUUGGGUUUACAGGGAGCGUAGGUGGAUUGUUAAGUCAGUUGUGAAAGUUUGCGGCUCAACCGUAAAAUUGCCGUUGAAACUGGCAGUCUUGUGUACAGUAGAGUUGGGCGGACUUCGUGUUGUAGCGGU
RNAcentral lists this ribosomal RNA (347 nucleotides) under uncultured bacterium. Its description in RNAcentral is "partial 16S ribosomal RNA". It matches the Rfam family "Bacterial small subunit ribosomal RNA", at positions 338 to 682 of the family's 1533-position model. The record is from RNAcentral.